Molecule: ribosomal RNA, 473 nt
Filed under: uncultured bacterium
Lineage: Bacteria
Description: bacterial SSU rRNA
Rfam family: Bacterial small subunit ribosomal RNA
Source: RNAcentral
ACUCCUACGGGAGGCAGCAGUGGGGAAUAUUGCACAAUGGGCGCAAGCCUGAUGCAGCCAUGCCGCGUGUAUGAAGAAGGCCUUCGGGUUGUAAAGUACUUUCAGCAGUGAGGAAGGCGGGUACGUUAAUAGCGUGCUUGUUUGACGUUAGCUGCAGAAGAAGCACCGGCUAACUCCGUGCCAGCAGCCGCGGUAAUACGGAGGGUGCGAGCGUUAAUCGGAAUUACUGGGCGUAAAGCGCAUGCAGGUGGUUUGUUAAGUCAGAUGUGAAAGCCCGGGGCGUCAACCUCGGAAUUGCAUUUGAAACUGGCAGACUAGAGUACUGUAGAGGGGGGUAGAAUUUCAGGUGUAGCGGUGAAAUGCGUAGAGAUCUGAAGGAAUACCGGUGGCGAAGGCGGCCCCCUGGACAGAUACUGACACUCAGAUGCGAAAGCGUGGGAGCAAACAGGAUUAGAUACCCUGGUAGGAUAGCG